GACGAACGCUGGCGGCGUGCUUAACACAUGCAAGUCGAACGGAAAGGCCCUGCUUGCAGGGUACUCGAGUGGCGAACGGGUGAGUAACACGUGGGUGAUCUGCCCUGCACUUCGGGAUAAGCCUGGGAAACUGGGUCUAAUACCGGAUAGGAGCCAUUUUUAGUGUGAUGGUUGGAAAGUUUUUUUCGGUGUAGGAUGAGCUCGCGGCCUAUCAGCUUGUUGGUGGGGUAAUGGCCUACCAAGGCGGCGACGGGGAGCCGGCCUGAGAGGGUGGACGGCCACAUUGGGACUGAGAUACGGCCCAGACUCCUACGGGAGGCAGCAGUGGGGAAUAUUGCACAAUGGGCGCAAGCCUGAUGCAGCGACGCCGCGUGGGGGAUGACGGCCUUCGGGUUGUAAACUCCUUUCGCUAGGGACGAAGCUUUUUGUGACGGUACCUAGAUAAGAAGCACCGGCUAACUACGUG
This 466-nucleotide ribosomal RNA is filed under the name uncultured bacterium. Its description in RNAcentral is "partial 16S ribosomal RNA". It matches the Rfam family "Bacterial small subunit ribosomal RNA", at positions 28 to 507 of the family's 1533-position model. The record is from RNAcentral.